CGAGUCUUAAUUGGGCGUUAAGUUGCAGGGUAUAGACCCGAAACCCGGUGAUCUAGCCAUGGGCAGGUUGAAGGUUGGGUAACACUAACUGGAGGACCGAACCGACUAAUGUUGAAAAAUUAGCGGAUGACCUGUGGCUGGGGGUGAAAGGCCAAUCAAACCGGGAGAUAGCUGGUUCUCCCCGAAAGCUAUUUAGGUAGCGCCUCGUGAAUUCAUCUCCGGGGGUAGAGCACUGUUUCGGCUAGGGGGCCAUCCCGGCUUACCAACCCGAUGCAAACUGCGAAUACCGGAGAAUGUUAUCACGGGAGACACACGGCGGGUGCUAACGUCCGUCGUGAAGAGGGAAACAACCCAGACCGCCAGCUAAGGUCCCAAAGUCAUGGUUAAGUGGGAAACGAUGUGGGAAGGCCCAGACAGCCAGGAUGUUGGCUUAGAAGCAGCCAUCAUUUAAAGAAAGCGUAAUAGCUCACUGGUCGAGUCGGCCUGCGCGGAAGAUGUAACGGGGCUAAACCAUGCACCGAAGCUGCGGCAGCGACGCUGAUGCGUUGUUGGGUAGGGGAGCGUUCUGUAAGCCUGCGAAGGUGGCCUGUGAGGGUUGCUGGAGGUAUCAGAAGUGCGAAUGCUGACAUAAGUAACGAUAAAGCGGGUGAAAAGCCCGCUCGCCGGAAGACCAAGGGUUCCUGUCCAACGUUAAUCGGGGCAGGGUGAGUCGACCCCUAAGGCGAGGCCGAAAGGCGUAGUCGAUGGGAAACGGGUUAAUAUUCCCGUACUUGGUGUUACUGCGAAGGGGGGACGGAGAAGGCUAUGUUGGCCGGGCGACGGUUGUCCCGGUUUAAGCGUGUAGGUGUGUGUUCCAGGUAAAUCCGGUUCACUUUAACACUGAGGCGUGACGACGAGGCACUACGGUGCUGAAGCAACAAAUGCCCUGCUUCCAGGAAAAGCCUCUAAGCAUCAGGUAACAUCAAAUCGUACCCCAAACCGACACAGGUGGUCAGGUAGAGAAUACCAAGGCGCUUGAGAGAACUCGGGUGAAGGAACUAGGCAAAAUGGUGCCGUAACUUCGGGAGAAGGCACGCUGACACGUAGGUGAAGUGAUUUACUCAUGGAGCUGAAGUCAGUCGAAGAUACCAGCUGGCUGCAACUGUUUAUUAAAAACACAGCACUGUGCAAACACGAAAGUGGACGUAUACGGUGUGACGCCUGCCCGGUGCCGGAAGGUUAAUUGAUGGGGUCAGCGCAAGCGAAGCUCCUGAUCGAAGCCCCGGUAAACGGCGGCCGUAACUAUAACGGUCCUAAGGUAGCGAAAUUCCUUGUCGGGUAAGUUCCGACCUGCACGAAUGGCGUAAUGAUGGCCAGGCUGUCUCCACCCGAGACUCAGUGAAAUUGAACUCGCUGUGAAGAUGCAGUGUACCCGCGGCAAGACGGAAAGACCCCGUGAACCUUUACUAUAGCUUGACACUGAACAUUGAGCCUUGAUGUGUAGGAUAGGUGGGAGGCUUUGAAGUGUGGACGCCAGUCUGCAUGGAGCCGACCUUGAAAUACCACCCUUUAAUGUUUGAUGUUCUAACGUGGACCCGUUACCCGGGUUGCGGACAGUGUCUGGUGGGUAGUUUGACUGGGGCGGUCUCCUCCUAAAGAGUAACGGAGGAGCACGAAGGUUGGCUAAUCCUGGUCGGACAUCAGGAGGUUAGUGCAAUGGCAUAAGCCAGCUUGACUGCGAGCGUGACGGCGCGAGCAGGUGCGAAAGCAGGUCAUAGUGAUCCGGUGGUUCUGAAUGGAAGGGCCAUCGCUCAACGGAUAAAAGGUACUCCGGGGAUAACAGGCUGAUACCGCCCAAGAGUUCAUAUCGACGGCGGUGUUUGGCACCUCGAUGUCGGCUCAUCACAUCCUGGGGCUGAAGUAGGUCCCAAGGGUAUGGCUGUUCGCCAUUUAAAGUGGUACGCGAGCUGGGUUUAGAACGUCGUGAGACAGUUCGGUCCCUAUCUGCCGUGGGCGCUGGAGAACUGAGGGGGGCUGCUCCUAGUACGAGAGGACCGGAGUGGACGCAUCACUGGUGUUCGGGUUGUCAUGCCAAUGGCACUGCCCGGUAGCUAAAUGCGGAAGAGAUAAGUGCUGAAAGCAUCUAAGCACGAAACUUGCCCCGAGAUGAGUUCUCCCUGAGACUUAGAGUCUCCUGAAGGAACGUUGAAGACGACGACGUUGAUAGGCCGGGUGUGUAAGCGCAGCGAUGCGUUGAGCUAACCGGUACUAAUGAACCGUGAGGCUUAACCUUACAACGCCGAAG
RNAcentral lists this ribosomal RNA (2284 nucleotides) under Salmonella enterica subsp. enterica serovar Durham. Its description in RNAcentral is "partial 23S ribosomal RNA". It matches the Rfam family "Bacterial large subunit ribosomal RNA", at positions 678 to 2925 of the family's 2925-position model. The record is from RNAcentral. Lineage: Bacteria; Pseudomonadati; Pseudomonadota; Gammaproteobacteria; Enterobacterales; Enterobacteriaceae.